Molecule: long non-coding RNA, 259 nt
Filed under: Gossypium raimondii (Peruvian cotton)
Lineage: Eukaryota; Viridiplantae; Streptophyta; Magnoliopsida; Malvales; Malvaceae
Description: long non-coding RNA (GRAI_LNC001371)
Source: RNAcentral
CUGAGUAAUCUGUUAUUCUGAUAUAUACAAUUGUUAUGAGAUUUGAUAAAUCAGUGUGAUUGCGUUACAUGAUCAUGGUCUUGUAAUAGCACAAUUUGCCCGGGGCCUAAUCAGAAUAAACAAAAAUAUAUAAAAAAAUAAAAAUAAGAACAAAAAUUAUUAAAAUUCCAUCAGUCCAUAGUUACAAACCCAAGUUACAGAGGCCCAACUUCAAAACACCCAAAAUUUAAACCCAGACCCAAAAUAGACCCUAAACCCG